AUUGAACGCUGGCGGCAGGCCUAGCACAUGCAAGUCGAGCGGAUGAAGGGAGCUUGCUCCUGGAUUCAGCGGCGGACGGGUGAGUAAUGCCUAGGAAUCUGCCUGGUAGUGGGGGAUAACGUCCGGAAACGGGCGCUAAUACCGCAUACGUCCUGAGGGAGAAAGUGGGGGAUCUUCGGACCUCACGCUAUCAGAUGAGCCUAGGUCGGAUUAGCUAGUUGGUGGGGUAAAGGCCUACCAAGGCGACGAUCAGUAACUGGUCUGAGAGGAUGAUCAGUCACACUGGAACUGAGACACGGUCCAGACUCCUACGGGAGGCAGCAGUGGGGAAUAUUGGACAAUGGGCGAAAGCCUGAUCCAGCCAUGCCGCGUGUGUGAAGAAGGUCUUCGGAUUGUAAAGCACUUUAAGUUGGGAGGAAGGGCAGUAAGUUAAUACCUUGCUGUUUUGACGUUACCAACAGAAUAAGCACCGGCUAACUUCGUG
RNAcentral lists this ribosomal RNA (484 nucleotides) under uncultured bacterium. Its description in RNAcentral is "partial 16S ribosomal RNA". It matches the Rfam family "Bacterial small subunit ribosomal RNA", at positions 30 to 507 of the family's 1533-position model. The record is from RNAcentral.